CCAUCUUGUAGCGUGAAAGCACAUUCUGCUGAGCGACCGACUCGUGCUCUGGGCUGAGCCUGAUCCUCCGUCAUCUGUCAAGCGUAGCUGCCACCAAGAAGCCUCUCAACAGUCCAGGCUGCUUCAGCCUGGGUCACAAGGCUCCAAAGCCAAGAAGUCCAGUGAUAAGUUCCAGACAGCCGUAUACCACAUCAUCCGAGGUCGUGACACCUUGAGGCACGCGUGGGGCAGAAGCAAUGUCUACCAUAUUGUUUCCAUAAGAAAUAAGAGCUGGAGAAGUUGCUAUUCAGAGAUCAGGAUCAAGAGAGAGAUUCUUCAGGAUGUUGGAAGAAUGUGAACACCAGUAUCAUUUCUGCUUGUGACAUUGAUUUGAGUCUUGGUGGGAACUUUUGGCUCCAUUCAUGCUGACUAGGUCAGCACAUGAAAAGAACAUAAACAUGGAGAGUGGAGCUUAGUGUACUGCACCUGGGAAGGGUGAUGAUGGCAGGAUGUCUUCAAGGAGCGACUGACAGACAACUAGGAUGAUUCAGACUUGGGCAUUUGGCAGACAUUUUUUGAAAAAGGAACCAAGCGAGCCUGUCACUUCAAGGAAAACAACUGAACCACUGUUCCAACCCACCAUGGCAACCUUUCACAUCAUAACCACAGAAUUAUUUUCAGUUGGAGUGGACGUCUACAGUUGUCAUAUCCUGGGAAAAUAAGGUAUUCUCUCCAUGUUACUGAUUUGAGACCUAGGCAGGAUAAGCCAUCUGUCUGCCAUAACUCAAGGCUUUGCGUAUAACAGGUUUUCAGAAGGAGUAGGCCUUCAGAGUCUCUUUAGUGAGCAUUAGACUGAACACGGGGAAGUUUGGGACAGUUGUUAUCGCUCCUGAUGG
Prionailurus viverrinus (fishing cat) is the source of this 875-nucleotide long non-coding RNA. RefSeq lists it as uncharacterized. The transcript is spliced from 6 exons. NCBI's taxonomy places the organism in Eukaryota, Metazoa, Chordata, Mammalia, Carnivora, Felidae. The record is from RefSeq and is a predicted model, not a curated record.